Long non-coding RNA from Diceros bicornis minor, 1255 nucleotides. RefSeq lists it as uncharacterized. NCBI's taxonomy places the organism in Eukaryota, Metazoa, Chordata, Mammalia, Perissodactyla, Rhinocerotidae. The record is from RefSeq and is a predicted model, not a curated record. The transcript has 4 exons.
AGGCUGGUUGAGACGACCAAAUCAUCAACUGGGCCUGUGCGGAUGACCAGGAUGAGUGACUGAGUGACCCUUUGACAUCAAGGAGAUAAAAACUCCACCAUCAGAUCAUGAAUGUGAGCUCCAUGAGAGCAAGGACCAUCUCUGCCUUAUUCUCUUAACAUGGAAACUUGGCACAUAGUAUAUUAUCAGUAAAUACUUCUCAAAUGAAUGGAUGCAUCAGCAAAUGUUUCAAAGAAUGAACCAACAGCCUCUGGGGCAAGCAAAGCUCCCCUCUCUGGAGCUUAGUGUUAAGAUCACGUUUGGAAGCAGACUGCCCAGGGAAGAGCUCCCUGAGGUGUCCUACUCUUCCAUUUGAAUCCUGCCGUCUCUCCUGAAACUAAGAGGCCCAAGUACAAAGCACAUGACUUCUCUUUGGCCGACUUUGUAGCAUCCUGUGGUGGUAGAGAGAUGGCUGCAUCCACACGAGACACAUAUCCACGCCCAACAAGAUCCAGAGGAAAAGUGAGACCAUCUCUUCUGGGGAUUUCUCUCAAGAAUGAGGAAACAUCUUUCUCAGCAAACUUCCUUCUCAUGUCUCAGCCCCAGUUGGAUUUGUGCCAUUUCCAAACUGAUCCCUUUAACAAGAGAAUGUCAUAUUCCAGUUGACUUGGGCCUAGAUUUCUAAACUAAUCCAUAUAAGGAGAAUUUUUUUAGUCUUAGACUUUUCAUACCACCAGUAGAAGUGGAAGAGGGAUCAGCUCCCCCUGAAGCUGCAUGUGGGAGAGAUGGCUAUCUGGAAGAAAAUCGUCGUGCUUUUCAAAAAUGGGAAAUAGAUUCCUGGAAGACAACUGGAACUUUCCACUGCAAUAGUCUUCACAAAUACCAUAAACAUGUGAAGUAGGGGAGACAAAAGUGCAAUCAAAAAGGUGCAAGAUAUUGUGAUAAAUGCUCUUCUAAGGAUACCCAAAAUAUACCGUGGAAAAAUGUAGAAACAAUAGGCAAGAAUGAAGAAAUCUAACUGAAAUGGUUUAGGGUCACUUCCUUGAGGGAACAACGUAUAAACUAAACUGAACCUUGAAAGAUGAGUGACAGUUAGUCAGGUAGAGAAAGGAGUAGUAUUUCAAGUAAAGACAACAGAGGGUUUGAAGCUAAAGAAGUGUGAAUGAGCCUGAUGAGAUCAGAGAGCAGUAAGAAGUUCAGCAUGGUUGAAGAGCACCUAACGGGAGUAGGGGCUGGAGAGUAGGAGUGCCACAAGACGAGAAGCUGGGAAACAAGU